UACGAAGGGGGCUAGCGUUGCUCGGAAUUACUGGGCGUAAAGCGCACGCAGGCGGUUCGCCAAGUUUGGUGUGACAGUUGUCGGCUCAACCGACAAAGGACUUCAAAAACUGGUGAACUUGAGGACGAGAGAGGAACAUGGAACUCCAGGUGUAGUAGUGAAAUGCGUAGAUAUCUGGAAGAACACCAAUGGCGAAGGCAAUGUUCUGGCUCGUUUCUGACGCUCAGGUGCGAAAGCCAGGGGAGCGAACGGG
Molecule: ribosomal RNA, 253 nt
Filed under: uncultured bacterium
Lineage: Bacteria
Description: partial 16S ribosomal RNA
Rfam family: Bacterial small subunit ribosomal RNA
Source: RNAcentral